CGGUAAUUCCAGCUCCAAUAGCGUAUAUUAAAAUUGCUGCGGUUAAAACGCUCGUAGUUGGAUUUCUGCUAAGGAGUUCCGGUCCUUCCUAGUGAAGAAUACGCGGGGCUCUCCUUAGCCUUUUUUUCAGGGAAGGUUUAUGCACUUUGUUGUGUGUCACACGAUCUGGAUUUUUACUUUGAGGAAAUGAGAGUGUUUCAAGCAGGCAUUUGCCGUGAAUAUGAUAGCAUGGAAUAAUAGCACAGGACCACUUUCCAAAGCUGUUGGUUUUUGGAACGAGGCAAUCAGAAUAAGGAUAGUUGGGGGUAUUCGUAUUUAACUGUCAGAGGUGAAAUUCUUGGAUUUUUUAACGACGAACUAUUGCGAAGGCAUCUGCCCAGGAUGUUUUUGUUGAUCAAGAACGAAAGUUAGGGGAUCGAAGACGAUCAGAUACCGUCCUAGUCUUAACCUUAAACUAUGCCGGCUGGAGAUUGGAAUUGUCAGUAUUGUGAUAUUUUCAGCAUCCUGAGAGAAAUCGAAGUCUUUGGGUUCCGGGGGGAGUAUGGUCGCAAGGCUGAAACUUAAAGGAAUUGACGGAAGGGCACCACCAGGAGUGGAGCCUGCGGCUUAAUUUGACUCAACACAGGAAAACUCACCAGGUCCAGACAUAGAUAGGAUUGACAGACUGAUAGCUCUUUCUUAAUUCUAUGGGUGGUGGUGCAUGGCCGUUCUUAGUUGGUGGAGUGAUUUGUCUAGUUAAUUCCGUUAACGAACGAGACCUUAGCCUGCUAAAUAGUGUCUAGAACAUUAGUUCUAGGGUUACUUCUUAGAGGGACUUCGUGUGUUUAACACGAGGAAGUUUGAGGCAAUAACAGGUCUGUGAUGCCCUUAGAUGUUCUGGGCUGCACGCGCGCUACACUGAUGUGUUCAAUAAGCACCUAACCUACUUCGAAGGGACCGGGUAACCUCUGUAAAGCACAUCGUGAUGGGGAUAGAUUAUUGCAAUUAUUAGUCUUGAACGAGGAAUUCCUAGUAAGCGCGAGUCAUCAGCUCGCGUUGAUUACGUCCCUGCCCCUUGUACACACCGCCC
This 1069-nucleotide ribosomal RNA is filed under the name uncultured Rhizaria. RNAcentral's name for it is "SSU rRNA". It matches the Rfam family "Eukaryotic small subunit ribosomal RNA", at positions 577 to 1674 of the family's 1831-position model. The record is from RNAcentral.